RNAcentral lists this ribosomal RNA (460 nucleotides) under uncultured bacterium. Its description in RNAcentral is "partial 16S ribosomal RNA". It matches the Rfam family "Bacterial small subunit ribosomal RNA", at positions 338 to 795 of the family's 1533-position model. The record is from RNAcentral.
CCUACGGGAGGCUGCAGUGAGGAAUAUUGGUCAAUGGACGGAAGUCUGAACCAGCCAUGCCGCGUGCAGGAAGACGGCUCUAUGAGUUGUAAACUGCUUUUGUACAAGGGUAAACCUGAAUACGUGUAUUCAGCUGAAAGUACUGUACGAAUAAGGAUCGGCUAACUCCGUGCCAGCAGCCGCGGUAAUACGGAGGAUCCAAGCGUUAUCCGGAUUUAUUGGGUUUAAAGGGUGCGUAGGCGGAUUGAUAAGUUAGAGGUGAAAUGUCCGAGCUUAACUCGGGAACUGCCUGUAAUCCUGUGGAUCUAGAGAGUAGAUGCGGUAGGCGGAAUGUAUGGUGUAGCGAUGAAAUGCUUAGAGAUCAUACAGAACACCGAUUGCGAAGGCAGCUUACCAAUCUAUAUCUGACGUGGAGGCACGAAAGCGUGGGUAUCGAACAGGAUUAGAUACCCGUGUAGUC